Molecule: ribosomal RNA, 439 nt
Filed under: Euryopis spinifera
Lineage: Eukaryota; Metazoa; Arthropoda; Arachnida; Araneae; Theridiidae
Description: partial 16S ribosomal RNA
Source: RNAcentral
UUCUAAUAGAUUUUUAUUAUUAGUAAAAUCUGCUCAAUGAAAUUUUAAUAGCCGCAAACUUGUGCUAAGGUAGCAUAAUCAUUUGUCUUCUAAUUAAAGACUAGAACGAAAGAUUUAACAUUUAAGAUAUUUUAUUAAAUCUAAAUUUUUAAAUUAUUCUAAGAAUAAAAAAAUUCUUAUAAAAAAAAAAGACGACAAGACCCUAUUGAACUUAACUCUAGUUAAGCUGGGGCAGCUAAACAAAUUAUCAUUUUAGUUACAAAACAAUAUCAUAAAUACCCAAUAAAAUUGAAUAAUCAAGUUACCAUAGGGAUAACAGCGUAAUAAAAAUCCAAAGACCUUAUAAAAAUUUUCUGAUUACCACCUCGAUGUUGAAUAUCUACCUAUCUUAAGUAAAAAUAAAACAAAGGAAGGCUGGCCGACUUUUAAUCCUUUUACA